Molecule: transfer RNA, 71 nt
Filed under: Stegodyphus mimosarum
Lineage: Eukaryota; Metazoa; Arthropoda; Arachnida; Araneae; Eresidae
Rfam family: tRNA
About the family: Transfer RNA (tRNA) molecules are approximately 80 nucleotides in length.
Source: Rfam by way of RNAcentral
GCCUUCGUGGUGUAAUGGUUAGCACACUCGGCUUAUUCGAGAUGUCCGAGGUUCAAGUCUUGUCGAGGGCA